UACCAGCACCCCGAGUGGUCGGGACGUUUAUUGGGCCUAAAGCAUCCGUAGCCGGUUCUACAAGUCUUCCGUUAAAUCCAUCUGCUUAACAGAUGGGCUGCGGAAGAUACUAUAGAGCUAGGAGGCGGGAGAGGCAAGCGGUACUCAGUGGGUAGGGGUAAAAUCCGUUGAUCCAUUGAAGACCACCAGUGGCGAAGGCGGCUUGCCAGAAUGCGCUCGACGGUGAGGGAUGAAAGCUGGGGGAGCAAACCGG
This 253-nucleotide ribosomal RNA is filed under the name uncultured bacterium. RNAcentral's name for it is "partial 16S ribosomal RNA". It matches the Rfam family "Archaeal small subunit ribosomal RNA", at positions 474 to 727 of the family's 1478-position model. The record is from RNAcentral.